This is a long non-coding RNA of Zea mays, 1399 nucleotides long. RefSeq lists it as uncharacterized. The record is from RefSeq and is a predicted model, not a curated record. NCBI's taxonomy places the organism in Eukaryota, Viridiplantae, Streptophyta, Magnoliopsida, Poales, Poaceae. The transcript is spliced from 3 exons.
CAAAUUUAAAUCUAACCUGUAAAUUUAAUGUACCAAUUGUAUUGUUUUGGUAUACAGGUCCUUAGUGCAUAUAUACAUUCUAUUAGAGAUGAAGAGCAUAUACUUCAUAGAGAAGGUGGAAAGGUCUUCUUAGAGAGCACGUUCAUUUCCAGCUUGCUUAAGCGUGAUGGUGAUCCUAAGAUACUCUUGAAUUGUAAGGAAGACACACUUGAAAACAGGGUGGACAACUAUUUACAAGCUGACAUGGUUAACUUAAAAAUCAACUCAUUCUAAGACAUGUAAUAUAUUGGUGCACAACACUUGCAAAUUAAUUUUAAUGCAUAUGUUCGAUGCAGGUGUUCAUUCCAAUAAACAUAGAAAAUUUUCACUGGUACCUGGCGAUUGUCAAUGCUAAAAAAAAUGAGGUACAUAUACUCGAUUCUAUGGGACCACAAAUAACGGAUCGUCGAGACCUUUAUACUACAGUGAGUAAUUAUUCCUUAUAUAUAUAUGUGAUUAUUUUAGCAUUACAUUAUUUGCUAUCUUUCAAUCUUAAAAUUUUAUUUGUUUGCCACAUAGUUAAAAGGUCUAGAAAGACAGAUUAAAAUUGUAGCAGAACAUAAAGAACUUAACCGGGAUAAGUGGUCAGACAUUGAUGUUACAUCAUGGCCAGUUAUAGAAAAGAUUACAAAGCAAAUGCAAACCGAUGGGUAAAAUUCUUGUGACCAUUACUUUACAGAAUUGAUUGUGUUUGUUUUCAUAUACAUAGAAACUCACCUAUUGUUUUUAAAUUAUGUUUAGGGUUUCUUGCGGUCUAUGGAUGGUGAACUAUAUGGAAUAUUGGACAGGGUCUUCUCUGUCUAAUAACAUAACUCAGAACGAUAUAACAAAGUUUAGAUUUAAGCUACCUGCAAUAUUGUGGAACUCAAGAUUAAACACAAAGAAAGGACAUCAAGAGACUAACCAUCAUGCAGAUGAAGAUGGAGGAAGUUCAUGUGAUGUUGAGAUAAUCAAGACUCCUUGUGAGUUACCUAUAUCAUUAAAUGCAUCAUCCCAGGUUCAACCAUUUAUAUCGUCAUGUGCUCUGCCCGCUACAUUAACAUCAACAAACACACAAGAACUGAUGAGUGCAUUAUGCACAUACAUCAUGGAGAUAGACGACGCCGAAUAUUUGGAGAAACAUUGGAUUCAGAGCACCAAGCCUUAUCCAAUUUCUUUAAGUCUUCAACAGCUUAAAAAUAUAUUGGAUGUAAAUAAACCGAUGGAUAAGGAUUGCUUCAACAUAGCUGUUCGGAUGAUCGCAUGCAGUGAUGCCUUGUUCUUGUUGGAAAACAAAUACCACUACAUGGAUCUACAGUUCUGUGUAUGUUGAUUAGUGAUUAAACUGUUUUCAUAUAAAUAUGAUCAUUAUAUUACUAUA